UAUAAGGAAGUUAUCAUAUUAACCAAAAUUUUUGAGUUAUUUAAACUAGGUUUUUUAUAU
Molecule: transfer RNA, 60 nt
Filed under: Cryptorhynchinae sp. KM-2015
Lineage: Eukaryota; Metazoa; Arthropoda; Insecta; Coleoptera; Curculionidae
Description: tRNA-Gln
Source: RNAcentral